RNAcentral lists this ribosomal RNA (1401 nucleotides) under uncultured bacterium. Its description in RNAcentral is "bacterial SSU rRNA". It matches the Rfam family "Bacterial small subunit ribosomal RNA". The record is from RNAcentral.
GAGUUUGAACAUGGCUCAGAACGAACGCUGGCGGCAUGCUUAACACAUGCAAGUUCGAACGGUAACACGAUACAGCCAGCUUUUCACGCUGACCAAAGGCGGACGGGUGAGUAAUGCUUGGGAAUCUGGCUUAUGGAAGGGGAUAACGACAGGAAACUGUCUCUAAUACCCCAUAAAUUCCAGAGACGAAAGUGCGGGACCGCAAUGCCGCAUGCCAUAUGAUGAGCCCAACUGGGAUUAGGUAGUUGGUGGGGUAAUGGCCUACCAAGCCCACAAUCUCUAUCUGGUCUGAGAGGAUGACCACCCACACCGGGACUGAGACACAGCCCGGACUCCUACAGGAGGCACCACUGGGGAAUAUUGCGCAAUGGGGGCAACCCUGACACACCCAUGCCCCGUGAAUGAAAAAAGCCUUCUGGUUGUAAAGUUCUUUCUGUGACUAGGAAAGCCUGAUGUUUAAUAAGCAUCACAAUUGACGUUAAUCACAUAAGAACCACCGGCUAACUCCGUGCCAACAGCCCCAGUAAUACCGAGGGUGCGAGCGUUAAUCGAAAUAACUGGGCGUAAAUGGCACGCACGCUGCUAUUUAAGUGAUGUGUGAAAUCCCCGGGCUUAACCUGGGAAUUGCAUUUCACACUGGGUAGCUAGAGUACUUUAGGGAGGGGUAGAAUUCCACGUGUAGCGGUGAAAUGCGUAGAGAUGUGGAGGAAUACCGAAGGCGAAGGCAGCCCCUUGGGAAUGUACUGACGCUCAUGUGCGAAAGCGUGGGGAGCAAACAGGAUUAGAUACCUUGGUAGUCCACGCUGUAAACGCUGUCGAUUUGGGGAUUGGGCCUUGAGCUUGGUGCCCGAAGCUAACGUGAUAAAUCGACCGCCUGGGGAGUACGGCCGCAAGGUUAAAACUCAAAUGAAUUGACGGGGGCCCGCACAAGCGGUGGAGCAUGUGGUUUAAUUCGAUGCAACGCGAAGAACCUUACCUACUCUUGACAUCCAUGGAAUCUCGUAGAGAUAUGAGAGUGCCUUCGGGAACCAUGAGACAGGUGCUGCAUGGCUGUCGUCAGCUCGUGUUGUGAAAUGUUGGGUUAAGUCCCGCAACGAGCGCAACCUUUAUCCUUUGUUGCCAGCGAUUCGGUCGGGAACUCAAAGGAGACUGCCGGUGAUAAACCGGAGGAAGGGGGGGAGGAGGUCAAGUCAUCAUGGCCCUUACGAGUAGGGCUACACACGUGUUACAAUGGCGUAUACAGAGGGCGAGGAAGCCGCGAGGUGGAGUGAAUCUCACAAAGUACGUUUAAGUCCGGAUUGGAGUCUGCAACUGGACUCCAGGAAGUGGGAAUGGUUAGUAAUCGCGGAAUCAGAAUGUCGCGGUGAAUACGUCCCCGGGCCUUGUACACACCGCCCGUCA